RNA transcript from Cannabis sativa, 4038 nucleotides. RefSeq lists it as uncharacterized. The transcript is spliced from 14 exons. NCBI's taxonomy places the organism in Eukaryota, Viridiplantae, Streptophyta, Magnoliopsida, Rosales, Cannabaceae. The record is from RefSeq and is a predicted model, not a curated record.
GGAGUAAAAACCAGCAGCAGCCAAAAGAGCUCAUCCAAACAAGAGACUUCUCUCUCAUCUCUCUCCUUCUCUCACCUCUUAUUGUGGUUCUCUCUCUCUUCUGUGCCCUUUUUUUAUCGUGCGCUUCUCACACAAUCUCAUCCUCUGAAGGAGAUUCGUCUUCGACUUCGGCUUCAUCUUAAUCCUCUUUCUUUUUUUCUCGAUCCACACACCUAACUGCAAUCAUGAGCGACGAAGGAGAAAGGACUUGUCCUCUUUGUGCUGAGGAGAUGGAUUUGACGGAUCAACAGUUGAAGCCUUGCAAAUGUGGCUAUGAGAUAUGUGUUUGGUGUUGGCAUCACAUAAUGGACAUGGCUGAAAAGGAUGAGUCUGAGGGGCGUUGCCCUGCAUGUCGUGUUCCUUAUGACAAGGAAAAGAUAGUAGGGAUGGCUUCAAAAUGUGAAAGCAGAUUGGUGUCUGAAGUCCAUAUGGAGAGAAAGAUGAAGUCACAGAAGGCAAAGGCUAAAUCAUCUGAAGGGCGGAAGCAGCUCAGCAGUGUACGAGUGAUUCAAAGGAACCUUGUUUACAUAGUUGGCUUGCCACUUAAUCUGGCAGAUGAAGAACUUCUUCAGCGUAGAGAAUAUUUUGGUCAAUAUGGGAAGGUUCUCAAAGUAUCAAUGUCUCGGACGGCUGCUGGGGUCAUUCAACAAUAUCAAAACAAUACGUGUAGUGUAUAUAUUACUUACUCAAAAGAAGAUGAAGCCAUUCGUUGUAUUCAAAAUGUACAUGGUUAUGUCCUGGAGGGUAGAUCUUUGAGGGCUUGCUUUGGAACCACAAAGUACUGCCAUGCUUGGUUGAGAAAUGUGCCAUGCACCAAUCCUGAUUGUUUGUAUUUGCACGAGGUUGGUUCUCAAGAGGAUAGUUUCACAAAAGAUGAAAUAAUUUCAGCGUACACAAGGAGUAGGGUCCAACAAAUCACUGGUGCUUCAAACAAUGUGCAACGGCGCUCAGGGAGUGUUUUACCACCGCCUAUGGAUGAUUAUUGUGACAACAGUUCUGCUUCUACUGCAAAACCUAUAGUGAAAAAUGCUCCAAGUAAUACUGUAAACACUGGUAAAGGGUCUCCUCCAAACGGAAGCUCUGGUAAAUCUAUUGCGCUUCCAGCUGCAGCUGCAUGGGGAAUGCGUGGUUCAAAUUGCCAACCACUAGCUGGAAAUUUAACAUGUACAAAUGGACCUUCCAAACAGAAACUUGACACAGUAAGUAAUAAACUGCCAUUUUCAUCAGCGGUUGCAGGUGGUACUCAGACUUCUGUAAUGCAUGUUGAUGGAGGGAAGAGACAACCGUCUGACAAUAUCGCUGAAACAGAAACAUUGAAGCCCAUGAAACAGCAUAAUAGUUUGGAUUAUCAGAGCAAUGUGCUUGAAAAACCUGAUGAUUCUUCUUCUGAAAACAUGAGCAAUCAGUUCUCUUCUUCACCGGUAUCAAGAGAUAAUGAUAGAGGCAUUGAUAUGCUUGCUAAUAAUUCAAAUACCAUUGACCAGGAUGGGCAGUCCUCUACUUCUGGUAAUGAAAGUGAACAUCUCACCUCGGAAGGCCAGGUCCAGAAUUUAUGCUCUGAAAUUUCUUCAUUGUGCAUUGAUGCAAAUGUCAUAGAUGAAGAUUCUGGUAAAACAUCUAGUAGUUCAUUUUUGGAUCACUCCCUAAUUAAAUCUUCUGUGAAUCAAGGGUUGUCACCGUAUUACAGUGAGCAGUUUAGAGAAACUUCUACAUUCUCUCAAAAAGCAGGAACUACAGAUAAUGAGGUUUAUGUUAGAGAUCAACCUGACUGGUUAGCAGUUUCACAAACACAAGCAAUGCCGAGUACAUCUUCUGAGUUAGAAGAGGACAUAAUAUCUUUUGAUAAUCAACGACUUAAGGAUCCGGAAGUUGUGAGUCGUUCAAAUUAUUUACCAAAUUCUACCAAUUCAUUCCAUACAUCAAAUCAUGCUUGCUCUCCUUUUCAACAUGAGGCCUAUGCUGCAGCUAAUUCAAAUACAGAUCGUCUAUUUGUGGAUAACAAACUUAGAGAUAGUGCAUUUCUAUCUGCAUCUACAACUCCAUUAACAUCUAAUGGGUACCCUAAUAACUUACCAAAUAGCUACAUUGGAUCUGAGAACAUAUCAGAACAUUCCUUUUUGCAUUCGAAUGAGGAUAAUGGGAAGCACAUUGGAAGAUUCCUUGGUGAUGCAGCUAAUACUGAUGUUAAUUGUGCUGUAGAUAGAGGGGAGAGUAGCAUAAUUUCAAAUAUAUUAUCACUGGACUUUGAUACUUGGGACGAAUCAUUAGCAUCACCUCAGAAUUUGGCUAAAUUAUUGGGAGAUGAUGAUAAACAGUCUGGAUCUCACAGAUUAUCGAGUUCUUGGAAGGCACCAACACACAAUCAAUCCAGAUUCUCUUUCGCAAGACAAGAGGAAUCUAUAAAUCCUGUUUUUGAUGUACAGCCAUCACAUAGUUUCCUUGGGCAGGUUUCUAACCAUGCUUUUAGUCGCGACUUUUCUGACAACAGAGAUACACACUUCGAUAAGCUUGGCUUUGGUAAUGGUUUCUCCUCCGGUAGUUUUGAUGAAUCUGAGAAUCAUGCCAGCGGCAAUCAUUCAGUUUUCUUUUCCAAUAAGCCUGCAGCUUCAAGGGCCCAGAUAUCAGCCCCACCUGGCUUUUCUGUUCCUAGCAGGGCACCUCCCCCAGGCUUUGGAUCUCAUGACAGGAUGGAGCAAUCUUAUGAUACCUUUUCUGGGAAUCGCUUGCUUGAUACUUCAUCAAUGUUGAGAAAUGGAUAUCAACAACAGGCGUCUGGAAAUAUUGGUAGCAAUGCUGACAUCGAGUUUAUAGAUCCUGCUAUAUUGGCAGUUGGUAAAGGAAGACCUCAAGGUGGACUGAACAACCCAGGCAUGGAAAUGAGAUCAAACUUCUCUUCACAAUUAGGCUCUUUUGAAAAUGAUGCAAGACUUCAGCUUCUGAUGUCAAGAUCCCUCUCCCAACAGCAGAACCUUAGAUUUCCUGACAUGGGAGAUAAUUUUUCUCAUCUUAGUGAUUCUUAUGGAUUAUCUUCUAGGCUUGUUGAGCAAUCACAAGUGAACAAUGUAUCCCCAUAUGCACAGAUGUCUCUCCAACAAUCCAGAAAUGGACUUAUGUCAAAUGGUCACUGGGAUGGGUGGAGUGAGGUUCAAGGCGGAAAUACUUUGGGCAUGGCAGAGCUUCUUCGUAAUGAAAGACUGGGAUUUAAUAAGUUCUAUGCUGGUGGUUAUGAGGAUUCCAAGUUUCGUAUGCCCAGUUCAGGUGAUCUAUACAACAGAACAUUUGGGAUGUAGUUCUCACUCAUUUAAUAUCUUGACUUGUGUUUGAGAGAAGCUUGAAGGUGUAUUACAAGGGUUGAGAGAAGCUUGAAGGUGUAUUACAAAGGGUUGAGAGAAGCUUGAAGGUGUAUUACAAGGGUUGAGAGAGAAGCUUGAAGGUGUAUUACAAGGGUUGAUAGAAGCUGAAAGGUGCAACAUUGCGUGGUAUCGUGGCCAUCAAUUGACUUAUAACUGGUCUCAGUGAGCAACCGAUGUAGGAUCGAACUCUCAAAAACAUGGGGCUUUUAAUCCUGCAGGUGAAGUAUGCUGUGAUGUACUACUUAUAUUUUGCAUUGAAGACCAUUGGAGAUUGCUGUAAAUGAUUCUCGACUGUUCAUCAACUGGAUGUGUAAGCUGUUAGCAUUCUUCAUCAUAUCCUUGCUGAAAUCCGCGCGCGUUGCUCUCGUAGAAUGAAAUCUAAUCUGACCCACCCCUCCUUUCUCUUCUUCCUAGGGUUUUCUUAUAUAUAAAUAUACCUGGCUCUUACUACCACCUUCACAAUUUACACAUACUGAGGCAAUAUUCAAAUUGAUUUAAACCCAUCUUUCAAUCUCUUUUUGCUUCACUCACUGCUUCCUCUUCAAAACUCGUUUUGGUGUUGUUAUUAAGUUUUCACAUGUUCUGAUAAAUUAUAUAUAUUAUAUAUAUGUUAUACAAAAAUAUUGCUGGCGUGUUUAAUAUCCUA